UCCAGUUUAUCCUGCUGGCGGUUGCGGCUAUCUGGCUUGCGCUUAGGCAUGCAAGUCUUUCGCGAGAAGGCGAACUGCUUAGUAACACGUAGUUAAUCUGCCCUAAGGUCAAGAAUAACCUCGGGAAACUGAGGAUAACACUUGAUAAGAAAUUAGUGCUGGAAUGCUUUUUUUCUGAAACUCGAGCCUUAGGAUGAGACUGCGGCUGAUUAGGUUGUUGGCGGGGUAAUAGCCCACCAAGCCGAUGAUCAGUAAGGGCUCUUAGCGGAGAGGCCCUAAGAAGGAAUCUGAGACACUAUUCCUAGCCCCACGGGGUGCAGCAGCCGGGAAUCUUUUGCAAUGCACGCAAGUGUGACAAAGCGAGCCAGAGUGUUUUUCACAAAAUGUGAAAAACUUUUGCUUGUUGUAAAAAGACAGGCGAAUAAGGACUGGGAAAGACCGGUGCCAGCCGCCGCGGUAAUACCGGCGGUCCAAGUCGCAACCACAUCUAUUGGGUCUAAAACAUUCGUAGCCCGUUAGGUAAGUUUCUUGUGAAAUCUUACUUCUCAAAAGUAAGGCGGGCAAGAAAUACUGCUUAACUAGAGACCGGAAGAAGUAAGAAGUACGAUUGAGGUAGUGGUAAAAUACGUUAAUCUCGAUCGGACUAGCAAUAGCGAAGGCAUCUUACUAGUACGGAUCUGACGGUGAGGAAUGAAGGCUAGGGGCGCAAAACGGAUUAGAUACCCGUGUAGUCCUAGCAGUAAACACUGCUCACUAAACAUUAGCAUCUCCUCGAGAGAUGUUAGUGCUGCACCGAAGGGGAAGAGUGAGCUACCUGGGAAGUAUAGUCGCAAGGCCGAAACUUAAAGGAAUUGGCGGGGGAGCACUACAACGAGUGACGCGUGCGGUUUAAUUAGAUUCCACACCGUGAACCUCACCAGGAUCGAUAGCAGAAUGAAGGUCAGUCUAAAGGGCUUACCUGACACGCUAAGAGGAGUUGCAUGGCCGACGUCAGCCUGUGUUGUGAGAUGACCUGUUAAAUCAGGUAACAGGCGAGACCCGUGUGCAUAGUUACUACGUAAGAGCACACUAUGCAGACUGCCUGGGUAACCAGGAGGAAGGUGCGGGCUACGUUAGGUGAGUACAGCCUGAAUACCCUGGGCUACACGCGCGCGGCAAUGCUAGAUACAAUAAGAUGCGACUCUGAAAAGAGAAGCAAAUCUCAUAAAGUCUAGCCUAGUUCAGAUUGAAGGCUGCAACUUGCCUUCAUGACGCUGGAAUUCGUAGUAAUCGUUCGUUAUCAGCGAACGGUGAAUAUGUCCCGGCUCCUUGCACACACC
This 1319-nucleotide ribosomal RNA is filed under the name metagenome. RNAcentral's name for it is "bacterial SSU rRNA". It matches the Rfam family "Archaeal small subunit ribosomal RNA". The record is from RNAcentral.